AGAAUCAACGCUGGCGGCGUGCCUAACACAUGCAAGUCGAACGAGAAAGGGGAGCAAUCCCUGAGUAAAGUGGCGCACGGGUGAGUAACACGUGACUAACCUACCCUGGAGUGGGGGAUAACUGAGGGAAACCUUAGCUAAUACCGCAUAAUACCUACGGGUCAAAGGAGCAAUUCGCUUCAGGAGGGGGUCGCGGCCGAUUAGUUAGUUGGCGGGGUAAUGGCCCACCAAGACGAUGAUCGGUAUCCGGCCUGAGAGGGCGCACGGACACACUGGAACUGAAACACGGUCCAGACUCCUACGGGAGGCAGCAGUGGGAAUUUUGCGCAAUGGGGGAAACCCUGACGCAGCAACGCCGCGUGGAGGAUGAAGUACUUCGGUACGUAAACUCCUUUCGAUCGGGACGAUAAUGACGGUACCGGAAGAAGAACGCCCGGCUAACUUCGCGCCAGCAGCCGC
Molecule: ribosomal RNA, 459 nt
Filed under: uncultured bacterium
Lineage: Bacteria
Description: SSU rRNA
Rfam family: Bacterial small subunit ribosomal RNA
Source: RNAcentral